ACUCAUGCCUUCAACAAGCAUGUAUUGAGUGCCGACUGGGUGCCAGGCACUGUUUCUAGGCUCUGGAAAUAUAGCUGGGACAGAUAUAGAGACCCUGCCUCAGGAAGGUGACAUUCUGGUGGCCAAACGCAUGCGAACACUGUCCUCCCGCAUUCAGUGAGUGUUUACCGGAAGCCAAGCUCUGUCCCAAGCACUGUGCUGAUGAUAUCUCAUUUCAUCCUCUCUGUCACUGUAGGAGGCAAUCUUUAUUGUUAUCCCAUUUUACAGAACACACUCUCCUGCCUUAAGAACCCACCAGCAAGAACCCCCUUCCCCACAUCUUCCCAUGGUCCUUCUCAUCCUUCAGGUCAAAUUGCUUCUCAAAAGGCAGUGAGGGCCAGGCACGGUGGCUCACACCUGUAAUCCCAGCACUUUGGGAGGUCGAGGUGAGUGGAUCACUUGAGAUCAGGAGCUCGAAACCAGCCUGGCCAACAUGGUGAAACCCCCUCUCUACUAAAAAUAAAAUGUAAAAAAAUUAGCCAGGCAUGGUGGCGCACACCUGUAAUCCCAGCUACUCGG
Molecule: long non-coding RNA, 558 nt
Filed under: Homo sapiens (human)
Lineage: Eukaryota; Metazoa; Chordata; Mammalia; Primates; Hominidae
Description: non-protein coding lnc-ERGIC1-7:1
Source: RNAcentral